Long non-coding RNA from Pogoniulus pusillus (Red-fronted tinkerbird), 892 nucleotides. RefSeq lists it as uncharacterized. The transcript is spliced from 3 exons. The record is from RefSeq and is a predicted model, not a curated record. NCBI's taxonomy places the organism in Eukaryota, Metazoa, Chordata, Aves, Piciformes, Lybiidae.
GCAUCCCCCAUCACCACCAUCACCAUCUGCUCCUGUUCUACCACGUGGCCAUCACCCAGGAGGGGACAAAGCCAUCCCCAGCACAGUCAGCCACCUUUGCAGCCUGAUCAGCCAAAUUACUGCCAGGUACAUGCAGAGCUGUUCCCUUUGGAUGUGCUUUUACAUGGACCACAGCUGUCUCACUGGGCCCUUUUAGAGCCUCUAGUACCCAGGUCCUCUCUUACCUUUGGCUGCACUGUGAUUCCACCUCUGCAGUCCUGUUCCAGCUGAGAUCUCUCCUCUGGAUGUCCGUACAAAAGCUGGGCCAGGUUUGAGUUAUUGGUUACCCUGAUGCUGAUUCUCUGCUAUUUAACAGCAUGGCCUCGAGUUUCAAGGUUCUAGCAUGGGUCAGCCACUUUUCAGCUCUCUGGUUCAAUGCACUCCUCUCAUUAUGGGCAGUACAAACCUUCAGUGCUGCUCCAGAUGUUCUGUUUCCAGCUUCUUGAACCGCAGGGGCAGUAGCUGCUGCUGCCUGUGAGCAAACAGCCCAUCCCCUGCUCACUGGAUCCAGCAGCUCAGACAGGUGAGCUGCCCCUUCCUCUCUCUCUAUUCCUGGCCAACACUCCACAAGCAACUUGGUCUUUAAUAUUUACAGACAAAAGGAGUGGGCUUUUUAAAUCUGGGAGGCUCAAAACAGGAGCCUCCAUCAGUGAUUCUUUUAUCCCUUGGAGCUUCUCCUCAUCUCCUUUAGUCCAUUUAGCUACAUUCUGAGUAAGUUUUUCACACAGGAAUGUAACCUUUUGGGUACAUUCUGACAUCCAUAACCUGUCCUAAUAAUCCUAGUGAUUGUCUAAUCUCCUUCUGGCUUUUUGGGGCUGGCAGGGGUAAGAUCCCCACCACUCUUUCUGAGCCC